GUUCCUGGAGGAAAAGCAUAAACAAGUGGAGCAAGUGCACUUACAAGCCUCAAAGGCCAGUCAGCUAUCUCUGAACACUCAAUGAUUGAGACAUAAAAUGAAUUCAGUAUGACUUCUAUAUCUGUGGGGGAUACCUUCUAAGUCUACAUGCGGAUAGUGAAACCAUGGUUAGUGAACCCUUCUGAACAAAUGACUUCCAAUAGAAGCACACCAUAAAGUCAUACUGGAAGAACUGCCUCUGCUCUUAGAAGUUCCAUAUAUAAUCAUUAACACUAUGUAACAACGUCUGAAAAAAUGUUUCUGUUCCUGGUUUGAAAGUGUUAUUUCUUGUUUAAUUUGCUGGUACUUACUUUGAAAGUAGUUAUUCCACUCGAGAAACUUCGUUUUUGUGGCUGUCACAAACUAGCUUGAAUUGGUUUGAGACUUAAUGAGAUAUUCAUUGAAAAACGAUAGCAAAAUGUGCUGCAGGACAGCCCACAAAAACAAGGUUUUUGCAGUUUGACAAACUUUUCCCAUGUUUUGGUGAUAGAACCAAUUAGGAAACGACAUUUAUAACCCAGGAACAAAAAUAAUAUUACAUAUUGUCAUAGUUUUUUUUAUUGUGUCAGAAGUAACUUGAGAACAUACUGCGAGUCAUUUCUGGUGUGAGAGAAUUGGCUGUCUACAGAGAGGUUGCCCAAGGGAUGCCUGGAUGUGUUACCAUCCUGCUGGGAGGCUUCUCUCAUAUCCCCACGAGCUAGAGCUGACAGACGGGAGCUCGCCCUGACUCGCAGAUUUGAACUGGCAAACUUCAGAUCCGCAACCCAACCUUCAGGUCAGCAGUUCAGCCUGCACAAGGGUUUAACCCAUUGCACCACUGCGGCUCCUGUAGUGUCAUAGAUGACCAAUGUUUGACAGCCAUGUGAUACACAAUGAACAUACAUAACAAAUUGCAUUUUAGGAUUUUCCAACAAGUCAUAUAACAAGUUGCUUCAUUUUUAAAAAGGCUUUCCAAGUUCUGCAGGGAACCUAUUUUAAAAUGUGCAUCUUUUCAUUUAUGUAUGCCAGAACUAGAACAUUUCAAAAUACAUUUAAAAAGCAAAAAUACUUACUUGUUCAAGACCGGCUGUACCGACAAUACCUAAAGCAACAAAAGGGAACAGAAUGACCUUCUUAUAGGAGGGCUUCAAAAGAAAACAACUUUAAAACUUACUUGUCAGUUCAAAUCUCUCCAAAGACAACAAAUAGACUUGAUGUCAAACUGAAUACAUUACUGGAAGCCUCCUAUGUUUUGGAAUUUCUAAGAUCCACAUUCAAAUGAGGCUCACCUCUCUCAUCCCCAGAGACGAAACAAAUGCCGCUGAAGAACAGAGAGCCUCAGAACACAAAAUGCCCCAUUGAUAGUUCUUACAGGCACAGGAAUUCAAAUUGCAAUCUUCAAAUAUUUUCCCAUUUACAAUAGAUGUAGCAGCUUAUUGUAAACCAGAACAUAUAUGAAGAUUCUCCUCCAUUGAACGGAAUGGGGCAUCCUCUUUACGCCAAAUAAUGUGCAAAUCUCAGAAUGCACAUGGAUCAAUACUUCAGAGAAGUUUAGAUGAACAGACAAAACACAAAUUACUAAGUUUAGUUGAUUCACUCAUCUCACUCCAGAGAAGCACAUGCAUUAUUUGGGGUGGAUGGCCAUCGGGGCUUAUUUUUUAAAAUUGUAACUUGCAGAAUCUAUGAGCCAGUAUUGUCAACAUCAGAGAAUUUGAGAGUUGUCGUUCCCAAAAAUAGCUUUUCAGAGCUCAGUUCUGAGUGUCGCACCUCAGGUUAGCUUCACCUUGCUGAAUAAGAUUCAGCAAGAUUCAGCAAGGUUCCAUAAGAUUGUUACAAAAUAAAGCCUUAGAGAAUAAUUCAAGAAAUCACGAGGAAUGAACAAAGUCCCAAUAGAGCAUGAAAAAGUCCCAAGAACAUGAACAAAAAAUCUGCAAGAUAAUCCAGGAAAAAGAGAGCUUGUUUCUUAGUUGAACGAAAGUUGCUUUGACAAAGGUUUGUCUUCAAACACAUUGCUUUAAUACCCUUUGCAAAGCAUGAAAGCAUUUCUCUGGCCUCUAACCUCCCUCUUGUUUGCAAUUCUCACACUCUUCCAAACCCUGAAUUCCAAACGGUCAGCUCGAUCUAAGGAACCUGUUUCAUCAAGGUCAGCCUGCUUGUUUGUUUGCUGAGCCUCAUUAUCAGACUGAGAACUGUCUUCCUUUUCCAAGUCAACUUGCACCUGGCUAGUUUCAGUAUCAACAACAUCAUUCCUUGCUGUGGGAAAAUGAACUUGCACUCUCUGUUCCUCAUCUUCUACAACAGGGACAUUUUGAACCUGAUUGUGAACCUGAAUCCCAUCAUCCUCAUCAGAGUCAAUCUGAGGUUCCAGCUGAGUCACAACAAGAGUCUACUACAGAAAAAAAAUACCAAUGACUAUGAGCCAGGAUGGUUAAUUUGGGGAGCCAAUUUUUCAUUAUUGCUUAAUACAGCAUACACAGUGGGCAGAUGGGGAGUGUGAUACCUCAGGCACCUUUGGCCCCUGACCCUGUGGCUAUUGCUGACCAGGACGAAGAAGACUUUGGUUUUCUUCCAAGUCAGCAAGAUUCAACUCCUUUCCAGAUGCCUUCUAUUGACAUUGCUGAGCCAGUACCAAUUAAGGAUGCCCUUGAAACAGCGCCGGCUCUCCCAGAUUCUCCAGACAGGUUAGCGUUUGAUCGCAGGGCCUUUUUGAAAAUAGAGAGAUCGCAGAGACUAAGCUUGAGGAGAAGCGCCAGAUUAGCGGAGCGUGGUGACUAUGGCUAAGCUUAGUUCUCUUGGGAAGAAUUAGGGAGUCAGGCACCUGGCGCUGUGACAAUGGCAAGCUCAGUUCUCUUGGGAAGAAUUGGGGAGUCAGGCACCUGGUUUGAGGGAGCUUAUGAACUGCAAUAAAAGUAUUGCGCUGGGAACUUUCCUUUGCGGUGUCAACUUUACUUCUUACUGAGAAGCAUCAUCGUCUCUAGCUCUUGAAAUCCAGGCGGCCUGAAGGUGCGCUUACUCUUGAGUAGACUGGGCGCCGGUCUACCUCCUUGCCCAAGUUUGGACUGCGUUUCAGCUCCUGCACAUCCAGUUCAUGCCUUGCCCUGAAAUCCUGCUUUUGGACAUCUACUCCAGAGAACUCUUCUUUGCCUCUUUGCUCCUUUUCCCCACUCAAUACUCAAGCCGGGUUUGAGUGUGUUUCAGUUUCGGGACUUUGGACUUUAAUAUUGGACAUAAGACUUUCACUUAUUGGACUAAUUUUGAUCUUUCCUGAAAGGUCAAUUGCUUAUUCAACUUUGCUGCUUAUUUCCUUUUUGGAACUUUAUUUGCUUUAAUAAAGAUAUUAUAUUGUUA
Anolis carolinensis (green anole) is the source of this 3366-nucleotide long non-coding RNA. RefSeq lists it as uncharacterized. Lineage: Eukaryota; Metazoa; Chordata; Lepidosauria; Squamata; Anolidae. The record is from RefSeq and is a predicted model, not a curated record. The transcript is spliced from 3 exons.